This 501-nucleotide ribosomal RNA is filed under the name uncultured bacterium. RNAcentral's name for it is "partial 16S ribosomal RNA". It matches the Rfam family "Bacterial small subunit ribosomal RNA", at positions 28 to 523 of the family's 1533-position model. The record is from RNAcentral.
GAUGAACGCUGGCGGCGUGCUUAAUACAUGCAAGUCGAGCGAACCUCUUCGGAGGUUAGCGGCGGACGGGUGAGUAACACGUGGGCAACCUACCUUGUAGAUGGGGAUAACAUCGAGAAAUCGGUGCUAAUACCGAAUAACACUUUUCUCCACAUGGAGAAAAGUUAGAAGUUGGCUUUUGCUAACACUACAAGAUGGACCCGCGGCGCAUUAGCUAGUUGGUGAGGUAACGGCUCACCAAGGCGACGAUGCGUAGCCGACCUGAGAGGGUGAUCGGCCACACUGGGACUGAGACACGGCCCAGACUCCUACGGGAGGCAGCAGUAGGGAAUCUUCCGCAAUGGACGAAAGUCUGACGGAGCAACGCCGCGUGAGUGAUGAAGGCCUUCGGGUCGUAAAACUCUGUUGUUAGGGAAGAACAAGUACCGUUCGAAUAGGGCGGUACCGUGACGGUACCUAACCAGAAAGCCACGGCUAACUACGUGCCAGCCGCCGCCGUAA